GCCCUUGUAGCUCAGUUGGCAGAGCACAUCCAUGGUAAGGAUGAGGUCACCAGUUCGAUUCUGGUCGAGGGCU
RNAcentral lists this transfer RNA (73 nucleotides) under Spirochaetaceae bacterium. Its description in RNAcentral is "tRNA-Thr". It matches the Rfam family "tRNA". Rfam says of the family: Transfer RNA (tRNA) molecules are approximately 80 nucleotides in length. Their secondary structure includes four short double-helical elements and three loops (D, anti-codon, and T loops). Lineage: Bacteria; Pseudomonadati; Spirochaetota; Spirochaetia; Spirochaetales; Spirochaetaceae. The record is from RNAcentral.